Picea glauca (white spruce) is the source of this 119-nucleotide non-coding RNA. NCBI's taxonomy places the organism in Eukaryota, Viridiplantae, Streptophyta, Pinopsida, Pinales, Pinaceae. The record is from Rfam.
GGGUGCCAUCAUAUCAAUGUUAAUGCACCAGAUCCAAUCAGAAAUCCACAGUUAAGCACGCUUGGGAUAGAGUAGUACUGGGAUGGGUGACCUCCCGGGAAGUCCUAGUGUUGCACCCU